UUGUCAGGUUUCUAAGCUGGCUCAUUCUAGCAUUCCAGCUUCCCAAAGCCCUUUGAGACUUUCCUCCACAUUUUGCAUAUCUACUUCAUUUGCUAAGUACAUGUCACGUUUUUUCCUAAUCUUCGAGUGCCAUCCCACUGGUGUAUUAAAAUUGUCACUCAGGAUCCUGUAAUAGCCAGAUGUUAAAUCCCUGAUUUAGAUUUUUAUUCUGCCUUCCUUGAUCCAGCACCCCCAGGAUCCACUCCCAGUUCCUGCAAUACAUACUAGCCAGAUUUGACAGCUCUUUUGGAAUAUUUUCUAUAUUCUAGCAAGCCUGGUAUUCCUUCAGUCAGAUUUUGCAGAGUCUUGAUCUGAACUAUGUGUCUGGUGGCCAGACAGAGGUAGGAACAGUUUCUGGAGAGGAUAAGGAUUGCCUUGAAGGUAUGAUUGCCAGAUUUAGCAAAAAAAAGAAAAAAAAAACAACACAGGAUACAAGAGAUUAGGAUACUAAAAAAAUUGCUCAUUGUUUAUCUGAAACUCAAAUUUAACUGCACAUCUUGCACAUUAUCUGGCGACUCUAUUGCCUCAUUUGAGGUUUCUUUAUAUCCUUUCAGCAACGGAAGUUCUCUCUUCCAACCAGAGAGAGUUGGUCACUUCUUAGGUAGGCCCUGAGGUUUCAGACAAUUGAAAUCUCUCAUUAAAUCCUCAGGCUGAUCUUAAGCUGUGCCUCCCCUCCAGCUGCAGGAUAUGAGGGUCUUUUUACAUGCUGUCGAGGAAAUACUCUGACCCUUUCACUGCUUGAAGUUGUUGAUUAAUACAGCUGAGCCUGUGAUAUUCUCUCUGCAAAGAAUCAAUAGUGAUUACCAACAACCAUCUGAUUCCACUGCCCUUUCCUUAUAGUAACUGUUGCUCCCAUACCCCUCAAUAGCCUGACACAGUAGUACCUGAAUUUUUCAGCACAUUAGAAUUUUCUGGGAGCUUCUAAAAAUACUGGUGUCUGUGUUCUACCCCAAGAAAUUGCAAUGUGGUCAGUCUUAGGUGUGAUCUUCGUUAGGAAUUUUUAAGAGAUUGCCAGGUGACUUUAAUGCUAGGACAUUGCGCCAGUUACUACAUCCUCUUGCACCUGUAUCCCUUUAUAGCUCACUACAGGUAAGUCUUAGUGAUCUACUACCACCAGCAUUCAGGCAAUCUCAAAAUCUAUUCCUAAUUUUUAUCCAGCGGGUGAGUAAUCCAACUACAAAAAUCUUACCCUUAGUGG
This 1237-nucleotide long non-coding RNA is filed under the name Capra hircus (goat). RNAcentral's name for it is "lncRNA (ENSCHIG00010004608.1)". Lineage: Eukaryota; Metazoa; Chordata; Mammalia; Artiodactyla; Bovidae. The record is from RNAcentral.